Molecule: ribosomal RNA, 278 nt
Filed under: uncultured prokaryote
Description: partial 16S ribosomal RNA
Rfam family: Bacterial small subunit ribosomal RNA
Source: RNAcentral
CACGGGGGUUGCGAGCGUUGUCCGGAAUUACUAGGCGUAAAGGGCAGGCAGGCGGAUCCAUAAGUUUAUCGUUUAAGGCGUCGGCUUAACCGGCGUACGGCGGUAGAUACUGUGGAUCUGGAAUGCGGUUGGGGAAGACGGAAUUCCUUGUGUAGCGGUGGAAUGCGCAGAGAUCAGGAGGAAUACCGAAGGCGAAGGCAGUCUUCCAAGCCGUUAUUGACGCUCAACUGCGAAGGUGUGGGUAUCAAACAGGAUUAGAUACCCUGGUAGUCCCUGAG